This is a non-coding RNA of Cristinia sonorae, 101 nucleotides long. NCBI's taxonomy places the organism in Eukaryota, Fungi, Basidiomycota, Agaricomycetes, Agaricales, Stephanosporaceae. The record is from the annotation of a GenBank genome assembly.
GGGUCAGUGGCGUAGUUGGUUAUCGCAUCUGUCUUACAUAAUCACAUUGAACCUGUGAUUUCGAGCACAGAAGGUCUUCAGUUCGAGCCUGGAUUGACUCA